AGAGUUUGAUCCUGGCUCAGAUUGAACGCUGGCGGCAUGCUUUACACAUGCAAGUCGAACGGGCUGUUGGGGCAACCUGGCAGUCAGUGGCGGACGGGUGAGUAAUGCAUCGGAACGUGUCCCAUAGUGGGGGAUAACCCGGCGAAAGCCGGACUAAUACCGCAUAAGCUCUAUGGAGGAAAGCGGGGGACCUGAAAGGGCCUCGUGCUUUGGGAGCGGCCGAUGUCCGAUUAGCUUGUUGGUGGGGUAAUGGCUUACCAAGGCGACGAUCGGUAGCUGGUCUGAGAGGAUGAUCAGCCACACUGGGACUGAGACACGGCCCAGACUCCUACGGGAGGCAGCAGUGGGGAAUUUUGGACAAUGGGGGCAACCCUGAUCCAGCCAUGCCGCGUGCGGGAAGAAGGCCUUCGGGUUGUAAACCGCUUUUAGUCGGGAAGAAAAGGCACGUUCUAAUACGGCGUGUUCUUGACGGUACCGGCGGAAUAAGCACCGGCUAACUACGUGCCAGCAGCCGCGGUAAU
RNAcentral lists this ribosomal RNA (521 nucleotides) under uncultured soil bacterium. RNAcentral describes it as "bacterial SSU rRNA". It matches the Rfam family "Bacterial small subunit ribosomal RNA", at positions 8 to 524 of the family's 1533-position model. The record is from RNAcentral.